GUGGGGAAUCUUGCGCAAUGGGCGAAAGCCUGACGCAGCCAUGCCGCGUGAAUGAUGAAGGUCUUAGGAUUGUAAAAUUCUUUCACCGGGGACGAUAAUGACGGUACCCGGAGAAGAAGCUCCGGCUAACUUCGUGCCAGCAGCCGCGGUAAUACGAAGGGGGCUAGCGUUGCUCGGAAUUACUGGGCGUAAAGGGCGCGUAGGCGGACAGCUUAGUCAGAGGUGAAAGCCCAGGGCUCAACCUUGGAAUUGCCUUUGAUACUGGCUGUCUUGAGUUUGGGAGAGGUGAGUGGAACUCCGAGUGUAGAGGUGAAAUUCGUAGAUAUUCGGAAGAACACCAGUGGCGAAGGCGACUCACUGGCACAAUUCUGACGCUGAGGCGCGAAAGCGUGGGGAGCAAACAGGAUUAGAAACCCGGGUAGUCC
RNAcentral lists this ribosomal RNA (425 nucleotides) under uncultured bacterium. RNAcentral describes it as "partial 16S ribosomal RNA". It matches the Rfam family "Bacterial small subunit ribosomal RNA", at positions 354 to 796 of the family's 1533-position model. The record is from RNAcentral.